Molecule: long non-coding RNA, 804 nt
Organism: Elaeis guineensis (African oil palm)
Lineage: Eukaryota; Viridiplantae; Streptophyta; Magnoliopsida; Arecales; Arecaceae
Source: RefSeq, a predicted model, not a curated record
UGUCUUGAGAAUUCACGUUUCCCUUUUUUUUUUUUGGUUAGAAAUUAUUUCCCUCUGUCUUGAACCCUCACUCCGCGGUUGCCAUGGCGCGAUAGGAGAGAAACCCGGGACGUCCUUCGCCCAAUCGAAACCCUAGGCCCCAAGAUCCCUUCGUCUCCCUUCUCCUCUCGCCAGCAAGCCUUCAUCGUCGCAGAUCGGGAUCUCCGCCGCAGCGCGUGGAUCCGUGAAUCAAACGAUUUCUCCACGAGAAAAAAGUCCUAAUCAUCUCUUCCACUUCGUGGCGCAUCGAUUCGUCCUUCCUUCCAUGUAGAAUUCGAAACAAUCUUCUCCCUCCCAGUGAUGGUGGUUUCCUGUGAAUGCGAUCAAAUUUUCUUCGUGACAAUUUGAAUAGGUGCGACACAAGUAGCUGACAAGUGAAUGACCAUAACAACAUCUGCUCACGCACCUCCGCUAAAUAUCUCGACGCCGUACCACAUCCUAUGCACGAAAAAUGAAGUCCGUAUGGCUGCUCUGUCAUAGCCAUCCGGACGACAACAUGAUCGACCUUUUCAGGGUUGCAAAAUUGGUCCCAUGAGUGAGGAAUUAAAGGGACAAAGGGUAACUGCAGAUGAUCUGCAUCCUGAUAAACGUGAUGAUAUUUCAGUUUAAAAAUUUUAGGAACAGUGGCUCCAUGGCCCUCUUGAUCCUAUCCCCAAGCUUCUGCAGGAAUUGAUAAACAUUUGUUUAUGCAUACCCUAGCUCUGAUUGUAUAAAGUUUGUCGGUCUUUCUAACAUCCAUUGAAUGGUCAAAUGUAUUUAUCCUCA